CUACAAUGCAGAGCUCUACAAGCAGAUUGAAACAGUGGCUGAGGCUGCUCUGACACAGGGAUAAAACUCUGCUAUGCUCAGCCUGCUGUUCACUUGGCAGAAGGGAAAGAAGACAUCAAGAAAUGUCCUGCACAUUCUUGAAAAUGCAUUUAUCUUAAGACAUAAUGGAGGUCAUCAAGAGUAUCUGGCCUUGUAUGACAAUG
Molecule: long non-coding RNA, 203 nt
Filed under: Cricetulus griseus (Chinese hamster)
Lineage: Eukaryota; Metazoa; Chordata; Mammalia; Rodentia; Cricetidae
Description: lncRNA (ENSCGRG00000025631.1)
Source: RNAcentral